RNAcentral lists this unclassified non-coding RNA (590 nucleotides) under Hevea brasiliensis (rubber tree). Lineage: Eukaryota; Viridiplantae; Streptophyta; Magnoliopsida; Malpighiales; Euphorbiaceae. The record is from RNAcentral.
UAGAAGUUUCUCUGAGCGGUUAUCACACAGGCGCUACAGAAGCCCACCAAGAGGCAGAAGCCCCUCGAGAUACAGGAAUCGUAGAAGCCGAAGCAGGAGCAUUUCUCGUAGUCCUGGCAGUUAUCGUGGCCAUUACAAGGAUCAAAGCCGGAGCCAGAGUCCAAUUCGCAGUCCUAGUCCCAGAGACAAGCGACCUGCCAUAAGCAUGGGUCUGAAGUCUCGUCUGGGUGCCAGAAUUGAUGAUCAGCACUCUUUGGACAAAGGGAUAUUGAGGUCAAGGUCCAGUUCUAGGUCUAGGAGCCGUGGAUUCUCUCCUUCCAGAUCUCCUAAUGCUGUACCACCAAAGCAUCGCAGCAAGCCUGCCAGCAGGUCUAGAUCGAGCUCGCCCUCUGGACAGAGGGGUUUGGUUUCAUAUGGGGACCUCAGUCCUGAUUCAGGAACAAAGUAGCUUGGAGAGUAAUUUUGCUUGUGGAAAGUACACAAUUCUCCUCAAUACUCAAAUGAAAUUGGCCAGUAUUUUGAGUGAGCUUAUCCAUCUGAAUUACAUUGCAGUGUGAGUUGAACAGCGUGGACUUGUGUGUCAAUUUUCA